Brassica rapa (field mustard) is the source of this 2649-nucleotide long non-coding RNA. RefSeq lists it as uncharacterized. The record is from RefSeq and is a predicted model, not a curated record. Lineage: Eukaryota; Viridiplantae; Streptophyta; Magnoliopsida; Brassicales; Brassicaceae.
AAUGAUAUUAUAUUUGAAGUAAAUAUAUUUUUCACUUUGUUAUAAAGUAAAAAAUAGAAUAUUAUUGAAACAUUUUUACUUAAACUCUAUUUUACACUGAAAAUAAAAUGGAAUUCGAGAUAUCUUUAUUAGCCACAUGUUCUCUCACUAAAACCUUUUUUUUAGAAAACUUAAAACCCUAUAGUUGAUGAUAAGUCAUAUUGUAAAGAGAAUCCUCCCAAGUAAGGCUUUAAUUUAUUAAAAAAUAAAAGAAAGAAUUACACUAGAAGGCAGUUUAUGAGUUUAUUUUACACAAUAAGACAGUUUCUACUACUAAGGUAGUUUUUCUAACCAAAUUCAUUUUCUAGCUAAAAUCUAACUAAAUAACCUUGUAACCAAAUGACCCAAACUAACUAAAUUUAAUAUAUAUAUUUUGCUGGGAUUUAACCACAGCCUUUCAUUUAUAUAUUAUUUUAAUGUUCAAGAUUCAACACAAACAAAAUGCUCUGUAAUAUCAUCUCCCGAUCUUCUUCCUCAAGAUUUUAUGUCUUCCUCUUUGUAUAACCUUAAACGACAACCACGGUGAGCUCCAAUCAUCAUCCCCGCCGUGACCUGCUUCUUGCCACCGACUUUUCUCCUCCACAAUCCGCAUCUGUCAAGUUCCCACAGUGAGCUCCUCCCACCACUUUCUCCCCACACACUCAUCUUAUGCCAUGGUACUCACGAGCACUGGAGCUGUUCUCAGCGACGAUGGUUGCGGCGAGUUCCAGUCUCCGUUCACUCUUUCAUUCGAAGCCGCCGUAAUCAGUAACCCUUCCUCCAUUGCCACUGUUGUAUCUUCUUCAUCACCUGCAAUUGCUAACUAACCAUCUUUUUUCACCGUAGUAACCGUCAACGAACAUGGCGUAAUGAGUUAGAUCCAAGUUUUAUUGGAGCAAUUCGGUGGUGACUCAGUCGGAAUGAGUUAGAUCCAAAAUAGCUAAUUUAGACUUUUUUGCAUAUUUGAUCCCUGAACUUAUUUGUUAUUUAUUUAGGAAUCCCAAUACUUUUUAAAUGUGAAAAUUGAUCUUUAAUUUUGUCCCAAACUUCAGAAAUUAUAUUUAAACCCCUUAUAGUAGGAAUACGUGUACACUGAAUUAAAUUGAUACAAUAAAAAAUAACUAAAGACAUACCUAAAUGACUUAGAUGAACAAAAACAAAUAUGAAUAUCAAAAAAAUAUGUACACUGAAUUGUACAACAAUACACAUGUACAACAAUAAACUAUUUAUGUACAUUCGUUGUACAUGUGUACAAUAAGUGAUAUAUCAUGAGAUGCGGAUGAGCUGUGGCAUAGACGAAGUCGAAUGUGAUCCCGAGAUAGAACCACCACUGUUUCACUUUACGGUGAAUGAGAAGAGAGGACGUUUUGACGGCGGUGAGAGCUUAGGUCACUGCAACGACAAAUACGAUUUGCAACACACAUACCAAAGACCAUAAAGAAGAAUUGCGGCGGAGAAGAAAGAGUUGUGGCAAAGGGAAGAGAUGCGACAGAGAAGGAAGAGUUGCGGUGGCGGAAAUAACUCAGACCCAAUGACCUUCAACAAGCGAGUACACGUGUACAUCGAAAAUGAACCAAUAUAUGACUAUGUACACGUUUUAACGAGUACACGUGUACAUCGAAAAUGAACCAAUAUAUGUGAAGAGGUUAUACACAUAUAGGUGGAUUGGUGGUUGAUUAGUAAUAUACAAUGUACACAUGUUGUCUUUGUACACAUGUACAUAUAUUAUAUCUUAACGCUAUCCAACAAAAUUAUAUAUUAACUCGUAUUCUACUUGUAAUAAUAUACAUAUACAAGUAAAUAUGUACAUAUGUACAAAAGUAAACAUGUACAUAAAUAAACCUGUACACAUAUAAUCUUCGUACACAUGUAUACUAUUAUAUAUGCACACAUGUUAACAUACAUGAGUAAUAAUAAAUUUUGAUUAUCAUGACAAACAUUUCAUAAUUUUAACAAAAAUAAUAAAAAAGGUGUCAUAUUAUUUACUAAUACAAAUUUUGUGUUUAUAACUACAAAUAUUUUGCAAAAAAAAAAAUCAUGUCAUAUUAUUUAGGAACAUGGUGAUAUUUUAUUGAUUCUUAAUAACUUUUUAGUUCAUUUAACUCAAUUUUGUGUGUAUUUAAGUGUUUUUAUUGCAUUUUUAUACAUAUUUUCGGCUGGACUGCAUAAUCUAAAAGUUUGGGCUGAAAUUGAGAAGAAUACAAAAGUACAAGGACCUAAAUUGCAAACAAAGAAAGUUGGACAAAACUCGUCGGCUUCAGAGGUGUGGAUGCAACGGAACGGUGGCACCAGCAAAGAUGAAACGGAACGGUGGCAGCAGCAAGGAUGACGCCGUGUAGAGCUUUGAAACGAGGCUUUGCUGCAGAGAUGUGCUGGUUUCUCGAAGAUCUCGUCUGGCUUCGGAGAUGUGCGGUUUCAUCGGACAUCUCGUCGCACUUGUUCUGGGCAUCAUAUGCUAAUGGUGCGUAGAAAGCUAGAGUUAUCAAUUUAUGUCGAGUAGUCUCACAACUUCAAUAGCUUUUACAAUUCUUAUUCAGACUGUAGUUAUCGAAGAUUUGAGGAAGAAGAUCAAGAAUAUUGAUUUUGUGAUUAUUGAAAAACGUAAAAGAAUGAAUGGCUGAGAUUAAAACU